CCAAAUAACAGCAGAGCCAGCGCCAAUGAAGAGUCAUUUGUAAAGAGCAAUGUGAACAGACUCAGCAACUCAGCUUCAAAAGUGAGGAUUUCACCAGAUCCAAGUUCUACCAUCCCCUUCACAGGAGAUCGUCAAACUGAUGCUGAUAUUAUAGCUUUCAUUAGAGCUAGAAAGAACCUCUUACAUAAAAAAGGAUUGGGAGACAAGUAAACUCUGAUUAAUGCAGCAAGCUCCCAUUUCAAAACUGGACAAAGUAACCAACAUUACAACAAAUGGAAUUUUGAACUGCAGCUAUAUUUACAAGGGGGAAAAAAGAAAAAAAAAGGCUUUCUGCAAGGAAUGGCAUUCAGCCUGUGCCUUCAUUAUUUUUGCAGUGUCAAGAAAGAAAGAAAGAAAGA
Molecule: non-coding RNA, 398 nt
Organism: Python bivittatus (Burmese python)
Lineage: Eukaryota; Metazoa; Chordata; Lepidosauria; Squamata; Pythonidae
Source: RefSeq, a predicted model, not a curated record